RNAcentral lists this ribosomal RNA (504 nucleotides) under uncultured bacterium. RNAcentral describes it as "bacterial SSU rRNA". It matches the Rfam family "Bacterial small subunit ribosomal RNA", at positions 15 to 518 of the family's 1533-position model. The record is from RNAcentral.
GAUCAUGGCUCAGGAUGAACGCUGGCGGCGUGCUUAACACAUGCAAGUCGAACGAGGUUAAUUAUUACGAUUCCUUCGGGGAUGACGAUUUUAACCGAGUGGCGGACGGGUGAGUAACGCGUGGGCAACCUGCCCCAUACAGGGGGAUAACAGUUGGAAACGACUGACAAUACCGCAUAAGCGCACAGUAUCGCAUGGUACGGUGUGAAAAACUCCGGUGGUAUGGGAUGGGCCCGCGUCUGAUUAGCUAGUUGGUGAGGUAACGGCCCACCAAGGCGACGAUCAGUAGCCGACCUGAGAGGGUGACCGGCCACAUUGGGACUGAGACACGGCCCAAACUCCUACGGGAGGCAGCAGUGGGGAAUAUUGCACAAUGGGGGAAACCCUGAUGCAAGCGACGCCGCGUGAGUGAUGAAGUAUUUCGGUAUGUAAAGCUCUAUCAGCAGGGAAGAAAUUGACGGUACCUGACUAAGAAGCCCCGGCUAACUACGUGCCAGCAGCGGC